AGUGCGGACACCUGAUCGGCAUAGUGCACUACAGCCCAGAACUUCUGGGCUCAAGCGAUCCUCCAGCCUCAGCCACCCGAGAAGUCACCAUAUUGAUGCUGAAA
Molecule: long non-coding RNA, 104 nt
Organism: Myotis davidii
Lineage: Eukaryota; Metazoa; Chordata; Mammalia; Chiroptera; Vespertilionidae
Exons: 4
Source: RefSeq, a predicted model, not a curated record